RNAcentral lists this ribosomal RNA (465 nucleotides) under uncultured bacterium. RNAcentral's name for it is "partial 16S ribosomal RNA". It matches the Rfam family "Bacterial small subunit ribosomal RNA", at positions 28 to 507 of the family's 1533-position model. The record is from RNAcentral.
GACGAACGCUGGCGGCGUGCUUAACACAUGCAAGUCGAACGGAAAGGCCCUGCUUGCAGGGUACUCGAGUGGCGAACGGGUGAGUAACACGUGGGUGAUCUGCCCUGCACUUCGGGAUAAGCCUGGGAAACUGGGUCUAAUACCGGAUAGGAGCCAUUUUUAGUGUGAUGGUUGGAAAGUUUUUUCGGUGUAGGAUGAGCUCGCGGCCUAUCAGCUUGUUGGUGGGGUAAUGGCCUACCAAGGCGGCGACGGGUAGCCGGCCUGAGAGGGUGGACGGCCACAUUGGGACUGAGAUACGGCCCAGCCUCCUACGGGAGGCAGCAGGGGGGAAUAUUGCACAAUGGGCGCAAGCCUGAUGCAGCGACGCCGCGUGGGGGAUGACGGCCUUCGGGUUGUAAACUCCGUUCGCUAGGGACGAAGCUUUUUGUGACGGUACCUAGAGAAGAAGCACCGGCUAACUACGUG